Molecule: small RNA, 586 nt
Filed under: Pongo abelii (Sumatran orangutan)
Lineage: Eukaryota; Metazoa; Chordata; Mammalia; Primates; Hominidae
Description: processed transcript
Source: RNAcentral
AGUUCUUGAUUGACAGCCCGGCACUUGUUUACCACGGCGCGGCCGCCGCCGCUCGCCUCAAUGAGAUUGCUGAGCUGGCACAAAAAGGGAGCGAAGAGGGAAGAAAGGGAGAGGAAGGCGAACUUUGGGCGCCUUCGAGGGGAGCGAAUUUGAAUGGCCCCCAGCUCAUCAGCUAGUUUUUGGUUCUGAAAUCCGUUCAGGGGAUUUGCACAGGGGACGAGGAAAAUUGUAUAGAGACAUAAGCGAAUCACCAUGAUUUUUAAAUAAAAAUGAUGAUAAUUCCGAAGAAGGCUUCCACACUAUUCAUUCAGGAAGGCAUGAAUAUGCAUUCAGCUUCGAGCUUCCACAGACACCACUUGCUACCUCAUUCGAAGGCCGACAUGGCAGUGUGCGCUAUUGGGUGAAAGCCGAAUUGCACAGGCCUUGGCUACUACCAGUAAAAUUAAAGAAGGAAUUUACAGUCUUUGAGCAUAUAGAUAUCAACACUCCUUCAUUACUGUCACCCCAAGCAGGCACAAAAGAGAAGACACUCUGUUGCUGGUUCUGUACCUCAGGCCCAAUAUCCUUAAGUGCCAAAAUUGAAAGG